CGAAGUUACGCUAAUACCGCAUAUGCCCUAAGGGGGAAAGCGGGGGAUUCGCAAGAACCUCGCGUUUUCGGAGCGGCCGAUAUCGGAUUAGCUAGUAGGUGAGGUAAAGGCUCACCUAGGCGACGAUCCGUAGCUGGUCUGAGAGGACGACCAGCCACACUGGAACUGAGACACGGUCCAGACUCCUACGGGAGGCAGCAGUGGGGAAUUUUGGACAAUGGGCGCAAGCCUGAUCCAGCCAUGCCGCGUGAGUGAAGAAGGCCUUCGGGUUGUAAAGCUCUUUCAGCCGGAAAGAAAACGCACGGGUUAAUAACCUGUGUGGAUGACGGUACCGGAAGAAGAAGCACCGGCUAACUACGUGCCAGCAGCCGCGGUAAUACGUAGGGUGCGAGCGUUAAUCGGAAUUACUGGGCGUAAAGCGUGCGCAGGCGGUUUUGUAAGACAGAUGUGAAAUCCCCGGGCUUAACCUGGGAACUGCAUUUGUAACUGCAAGGCUAGAGUACGGCAGAGGGGGG
This 515-nucleotide ribosomal RNA is filed under the name uncultured bacterium. RNAcentral describes it as "bacterial SSU rRNA". It matches the Rfam family "Bacterial small subunit ribosomal RNA", at positions 152 to 661 of the family's 1533-position model. The record is from RNAcentral.